GCGCAGAGCCCGCCGCGAGCGCAGGGGACCGUUGGGGUCGUGGGUGGUGAGGAAGCAUGCUGGGUACUCUUCUAGAUUGAAGUUAUGGGCCGCCAGAUGAGGUCCAGAGUAGAAACCCGGAGAACUAACUCUUCAUGGGGCUCUCAGGGACAUUAGCUCUCUCCAGAGGCAUUUAUUGGGGGUACUGAAAGGAUGAAGAAGCCGAUGCGGCCCACGCCCGCCCCUUCGGUCCACUUCCAGUCCCGCCGUAGAGAAAGUCUGUUCCGGGCUCGCGGAGGUCGUCCUCAGAGUUAAAAGAUGCCGCGCGCGGACCCUGUGGGUCUGGUUCCCUCCGGGCUUAAGAUAAAAAACAUCUUGUAGGACUUGAAUGGUGUUUUCUAUUAGGGCAUUUUGAAGCAUUCACCAAAAGUUGUGUAUUAAACUGUUCAACGGUUAGCUGCAUUUUGCCGAUUUUUAAUGUAUUCCCCCAUACCCCCUACUUACAGUGUCUUAAGGGAAAUCAUUCGUUU
Molecule: long non-coding RNA, 509 nt
Filed under: Bos taurus (domestic cattle)
Lineage: Eukaryota; Metazoa; Chordata; Mammalia; Artiodactyla; Bovidae
Description: long non-coding RNA NONBTAT009080
Source: RNAcentral